This 257-nucleotide ribosomal RNA is filed under the name uncultured bacterium. RNAcentral's name for it is "partial 16S ribosomal RNA". It matches the Rfam family "Bacterial small subunit ribosomal RNA", at positions 526 to 779 of the family's 1533-position model. The record is from RNAcentral.
CGUAGGGCGCGAGCGUUGUCCGGAAUUAUUGGGCGUAAAGAGCUUGUAGGCGGUUUGUCGCGUCUGCUGUGAAAGCCCCGGGGCUUAACCCCGGGUUUGCAGUGGGUACGGGCUAACUAGAGUGCAGUAGGGGAGACUGGAAUUCCUGGUGUAGCGGUGAAAUGCGCAGAUAUCAGGAGGAACACCAAUGGCGAAGGCAGGUCUCUGGGCUGUAACUGACGCUGAGAAGCGAAAGCAUGGGGGAGACGAACAGGAUU